RNA transcript from Medicago truncatula (barrel medic), 1051 nucleotides. RefSeq lists it as uncharacterized. Lineage: Eukaryota; Viridiplantae; Streptophyta; Magnoliopsida; Fabales; Fabaceae. The record is from RefSeq and is a predicted model, not a curated record. The transcript has a single exon.
UUAUAUAUAAUAAAUAAAAAAUACGAAAAUGAAUAAUUCAUAUCAUAUACUAAUAACAUAUAUGAAUUACUAAUAUCAUAUAUGAAUAGUAAUGAAAUUGCAAGAAUAAAAAUUGCAAUAAAUAUCAAAAUACUAAAAGAGGUUUUUCAUGAUUUAUCAAUUGUUUAUACUAGAUCGUUUAGUAGGUUUAUGGCUUAAAAUACUAAAUUCAGCCAUUGUGAUGGGACUGUAUUAUGGAUUUCUGACUACAUUCUCCAUAGGGCCAUCUUAUCUCUUCCUUAUUCGAGCCCGGGUUAUGGACAAAGGGACCGAGACGGAAAUAGCAGCAACAACCGGGUUUAUUACGGGACAGCUUAUGAUGUUCAUAUCGAUCUAUUAUGCGCCUUUGCAUUUGGCUUUGAUUAGACCUCAUACAAUCACUGUCCUAACUCUACCGUAUCUUUUCUUUAAUUUCGUAUACAAAAACAACAAACACUAUUAUUCGGCGGAUUCUCACUUUUAUUUGGAUUUGGAUUACGGAUACAAGAAUCCAAAUUCAAUACGUAAAUUUCGUAUUUACAAAGUAUUCUUUAACAAUCUUUUUUUUCAGUUAUCAAACCCCUUGCUUUUCCCAAGUUCAAUCUUACUAAGAUUAAUGAACAUUUAUCUCUUUCGAUCCAACAAUAAAUUGUUAUUCUUAACAAGUAGUUUUCUUGGUUGGUUAAUUGGUCAUAUCUUUUUGAUGAAAUGUAUUGGAUUGAUAUUAUUAGUUUGGUCAAAGCAAAAAAAUUCGAUCAAAUCUAAGUUAACUAUGCGAUUUGAUAAGUACAUUCUAUUACAAUUGCGAAAUUAUGUGGGUCAAAUAUUUGUUGUUUUUUCAUUUGUUAUCGUUGUCCACUAUUUAGGCAGAACACCGGUUCCAUAUUUAUAUACUUAUACUGAUGAAAUCUUAGAAUACGACGAGAAACAAAAGGAUGAAAUCAAUGGUGAAACAGAAAUCGAUGUUGAAAUAGAUUCGGAACAAGAACAAAACGGCUCCAUCGAAGACGAAGAAGAUAUUCUUUCUUAUCUU